UUAUGAUAUUGCACGUUGUUUCGUAACAAGCUUGAUGAAGAUGAACCCCCGCUUCGUGAACUGAUAUUAGCACCCCAAGGGAAAUGAUGUGUAUUUCUUGGAACAUCUGGAGUGUGAAAAAAAGGGGGUUGCGGGUUUGAUAGAUUAUUACCAAUUUGCCCUCGGGACUGGUCCAAAAAUUCAUUAAGCAAAAUUUGUCUGUUCAAUGAUUGCCUCGAGUGCCGAACGGUGGUGGUGUUGGUGUCGGUGAGCUUUCUGGAACUCCGAUUCUUGCAUUUGGUGUUUCGUAGCGGUUCAUCGGCACAUGGUUGACUUGAGCCGAAGAUAUGUUUAAGCUUCUAGAAGCUUCCGGAAAGCAACUGGAAGCGCCACCCAUGAGGGACUGAGUAGAAGUACCUUCCAGGGUUUUUCUUUUACAAGAUAAACCCCAAUGAUCGAAAGAUGAGCCCGGCCCACAAUCAGAAGGCCCGAUACCAUCAUCGUCACUAUUAGUACUCUCAUAUCCAACAUUCAAAUUUACAUUCAUAGGAGUUGUUGAUGAUUCACGAUGUGGUUGUUCUAAUCUUGAUGCAUGAGCGGCUGAAUUUGACCAGUGUUGACCGUCAUUAGAAACCUGAUCGCGUAAACUUGCCCUAGAGCUAGAUUCGCCAACGUCCCAGCUUCUAAAACUUUGAAAACUAUUAUGACGAUUUGUAUUCACACAACUGAAAUUUAGCUCGUUAGAAAGAUCGUUAUUUAACAACCGUCUUUCCAUUGGAGAUAACAUAUUAUUCCAAUCAUCGGUUUCGUCCAUACUAGUAGUGUUGGGAUUUGACCCCUGGUUAAGGUCAACGGUCUCGGGGAAAGGGUCAAAUAUGCUCCUUUGACCUUGCAUCGGGUCAAGCUAUGAAAUUGACCAAGUCGGUAUUCACAAGGUAUAGCCCCCGCAACUCUUCACUCCUACGCGAUGCAUAGAAGGCACCGAAGAAUAAAUAAGGUUGUGUUCCUGAGAUUUAUACAUCAUCAACGAAAAGUUAAUAUAUUAACGGAUGGAUUUAACCAUUAAAGGAGAACAGUAGGACGACAUUCAAAGUCAAAAUAGCAACACUUUAACCAAAAAAACAUCAGAUAAUACACAAAUUAUCGCAACCUAACAGCUUAAAUUUUACAAAUUAAUCAUAAAGCAAAAUUACCAAAUUAGUUACACAGCAUUCUUAUAUCAGCUUUCCAGGUAUAAUAAAAAAGAAACAAAAAUAAAUAAAUAAAAACAGAAGACCAGAUGUUUAAAGUUUAUCUUUUCGGUUUAGUACAUGAGUAAAAAUUAAAGCUUUAAUGAAGAGAAUCAAGAAAUAUUAGUUAAACAAUAUUACAUUGUAAAGAAAAUGAUGACCACACCUGCAGUACUAAAAUUAUGCAUUUUGAGGCAUCAAAGGUGUGGAAAUUAGAUCAAUUAAACAUGAACCAGUAACCAAUAAU
This 1455-nucleotide long non-coding RNA is filed under the name Helianthus annuus (common sunflower). Its description in RNAcentral is "hypothetical non coding rna". Lineage: Eukaryota; Viridiplantae; Streptophyta; Magnoliopsida; Asterales; Asteraceae. The record is from RNAcentral.